This 245-nucleotide ribosomal RNA is filed under the name uncultured bacterium. RNAcentral's name for it is "partial 16S ribosomal RNA". It matches the Rfam family "Bacterial small subunit ribosomal RNA", at positions 88 to 334 of the family's 1533-position model. The record is from RNAcentral.
AUGGCGACCGGCGCACGGGUGAGUAACACGUAUCCAACCUGCCGAUAACUCGGGGAUAGCCUUUCGAAAGAAAGAUUAAUACCCGAUGGUAUAAUCAGACCGCAUGGUUUGAUUAUUAAAGAAUUUCGGUUAUCGAUGGGGAUGCGUUCCAUUAGGCAGUUGGUGAGGUAACGGCUCACCAAGCCUUCGAUGGAUAGGGGUUCUGAGAGGAAGGUCCCCCACAUUGGAACUGAGACACGGUCCAA